Small nucleolar RNA from Sorex araneus (European shrew), 131 nucleotides. RefSeq annotates it as U8 small nucleolar RNA. Lineage: Eukaryota; Metazoa; Chordata; Mammalia; Eulipotyphla; Soricidae. The record is from RefSeq and is a predicted model, not a curated record. The transcript has a single exon.
UCAUCAGGUAGGAUAACCCUUCCCUGUUCCUCUAUUCAGAGGGCAGAUAGAACAUGAUGAUUGGAGUUCAUGUGAUGAUUAACAUCUCUGCGUGAUUAGGGCUGGCGAUACCCUGAUGGCUCCUAUCUGAU